ACAAAAAACAUCCUGUUGAUUUAUUAUCGUAAACAAAUUGGUUUGUCAUCAAUCGGUCUAAAUAAUGCGACGCGCCUGCGACGGGCCGAGUCUUGACGUCAGUCAUUAGACGAACUACGUUAGUAAAACGCAUCGCCGCACUUAAAUACGAGUGGGGGGAAACGACUCGAGCAAACCCGCUCUGGCAUUUGUUGCGAACACACGCGCAAACAAAUUGUAACUAUCAUUCCAAGAUGUUCACAAACCCUUUCGAGAGGAAGCACUCUACGCUGCGCCAGACCCUGGACCGCAUCGUCACCACAACCAGACUAAGCUUCCGCAUGAAGAAAGUCCUCCCAUCCAGCAAUGGCAGUGUCUCCGGAAGCAAUUCCUCCGUGGCUUCCACUAUGGACUACAGGAGCAAGAAUACCCUCAAAAGAUGAACUUAUCAAGUGUAAUGUGUUGUGUCAGUGAUAAAAUCAUGCCCUGGAAACUCAUUGAUCAGAUCGAGUUCAUGGGCCGAAAACUUGCUGCGAACCAGUCGUUUGACGUCAAUGGUCGACGGCCGUACACGUUAAGACCACGAGACAAUUUGUAUCGGCUUGAAAAGGGAUUUGCGAUGGAAUUCCGUCUUUAAUUAUGAGAAUAAACUUAAUUAUGUGUAAGAA
This is a long non-coding RNA of Pectinophora gossypiella (pink bollworm), 647 nucleotides long. RefSeq lists it as uncharacterized. The transcript has 2 exons. Lineage: Eukaryota; Metazoa; Arthropoda; Insecta; Lepidoptera; Gelechiidae. The record is from RefSeq and is a predicted model, not a curated record.